GAAUGAGUGAGGGUGCUGAGAACCAUAAGCUUUCGCUUCUUUGUAUGUCAGAAGAACAUGAACAGCAAGAAUGGUGAAUCCAUUGCUGUUUGGAGGAGUGAAGUGGUAUAAUUUUUUUUAAAGGCUCCCCAGGAACCAUCAGUGGAACAAGUUACUGGGAAUGUGUUGAGUCUCCUUAACUGGGGAGAGGACCCAAGGAUGUUACCAUUCAUGUUGAAGAGUGUUACCCCCGUGGAGAGCACAGACCUUAGAAGACUGACAGUAACCACCCUAUCAUGAUGAGACUCUGAUCUACUUCUGAAGAUUUUUAGGAAGAAAGGAUUUCUGCCACCAGUACACACACUUGAUAACAGCUUUGUUUGUUUAGGCCUUACAGGUUACCGAGUGCUUUCGGAGAUUUUCUCCUUUGUAUUUUUACC
Bos indicus x Bos taurus (hybrid cattle) is the source of this 419-nucleotide long non-coding RNA. Lineage: Eukaryota; Metazoa; Chordata; Mammalia; Artiodactyla; Bovidae. The record is from Ensembl.